AUCAUGGCUCAGGAUGAACGCUAGCUACAGGCUUAACACAUGCAAGUCGAGGGGCAGCAUGUUGGUUGCUUGCAACCGAUGAUGGCGACCGGCGCACGGGUGAGUAACGCGUAUCCAACCUACCCUUGUCCAUCGGAUAACCCGUCGAAAGGCGGCCUAACACGAUAUGCGGUUCACAGCAGGCAUCUAACGUGAACGAAAUAGUGAAGGAGAAGGGAAUGGGGAGUGCGU
This 231-nucleotide ribosomal RNA is filed under the name uncultured bacterium. Its description in RNAcentral is "partial 16S ribosomal RNA". It matches the Rfam family "Bacterial small subunit ribosomal RNA", at positions 16 to 236 of the family's 1533-position model. The record is from RNAcentral.